GAAAUUUUAUUUUUGACUAAAUCUAAAAACAUUUGCAUAAACAUAAACUGCGGGAAAAAAAACGUGUGGACGGUGAAGGAUAUUCAUGAUUCAUAUUCCGCCACCUUUUACUUAAUCUACUUUUCAUUUUUGAUGCAUAAGUGCAGUUUCUCUCUCUUUAUAUAUUUAAUACCAAUUCUAAGCCAUCUAACAUUAAAACCGACACGACCACUAAUAUUUCACUGUUUCACUUUCUUCCUUCCUCAAAUCCUCAAACAUAGUAAACAAAAAACCUCAGAAGAAGGAAGAAAAAAACCUCAAAGAAACCAUUGA
Vicia faba (fava bean) is the source of this 312-nucleotide non-coding RNA. The record is from the annotation of a GenBank genome assembly. Lineage: Eukaryota; Viridiplantae; Streptophyta; Magnoliopsida; Fabales; Fabaceae.